UAACAAUGAUUCCCCUAGUAACGGCGAGUGAACAGGGAAAAGCUCAAAGUUGGAACCUCCUGGCCCUAGGCCCGGCGGAUUGUAAACUAAAGCUCUCGAGUAGUUCGGCUAGCCUGGUAAAAAAGUUCUCUGGAAAGGGACGACAUGGAGGGUGAAAUCCCCGUCUUUGGCCAGAGCAUAGUCCAACGUUUGCUUGGAAGUGAAGAGUCAGGUUGUUUGGUAUUGCAGCCUAAAGUUGGAGGUAAAUCUCUCCUAAAGCUAAAUAUUGACGAAAGACCGAUAGCGAACAAGUACCGUGAGGGAAAGAUGAAAAGCACUUUGAAAAGAGGGUCAAAAAGUACGUGAAAUUGCUGAAAGGGAACCGUAUGAAAUCAGCUUGUUUUUUUGGUAAUCAACCUGGACCUCGGUCUGGGUGCACUUGCCAGUGAAACAGCCUGCGACAAUUCGAUUCGGAGGAAAAAAUUAUUGGGAAUGUGGCCUCUGCCUUCGGUUGAGGUGUUAUAGCCCUUUAAAAAAUACUCUGGGUUGGAUUGAGGACUGCAGCGAGCUCCCCUCGGGGGGCAUGGGUUGUGGGUGCUUUGCUUUGGUAAAAGGGAAAUCUCUACUUCGGGUAGUGUCUUUUUUAUCGAGGUAAACUCGCCUAUAUUCCCUUUCUCUCGCUUAGGUCGUAGGCAUAAUGAUUUUAUAUGACCCGUCUUGAAACACGGACCAA
This 712-nucleotide ribosomal RNA is filed under the name Absidia psychrophilia. RNAcentral describes it as "eukaryotic LSU rRNA". It matches the Rfam family "Eukaryotic large subunit ribosomal RNA", at positions 66 to 669 of the family's 3401-position model. The record is from RNAcentral. Lineage: Eukaryota; Fungi; Mucoromycota; Mucoromycetes; Mucorales; Cunninghamellaceae.